AGAACAAUCAGGUUUUUUCGGGCU
Molecule: non-coding RNA, 24 nt
Filed under: Arabidopsis thaliana (thale cress)
Lineage: Eukaryota; Viridiplantae; Streptophyta; Magnoliopsida; Brassicales; Brassicaceae
Source: RNAcentral